This 297-nucleotide long non-coding RNA is filed under the name Ananas comosus (pineapple). RNAcentral's name for it is "long non-coding RNA (ACOM_LNC004620)". Lineage: Eukaryota; Viridiplantae; Streptophyta; Magnoliopsida; Poales; Bromeliaceae. The record is from RNAcentral.
GAUAUUAACAAAACAUAUACAUUAUAUCUAAUAAUCAUGAUUAAUUUUUUUUCACUCUGAUAGAAAUCUCUUUUCUUAAUUAUUAUAUUCUUUUCUAUGUAUUAAAAAUUAUCAUCUGCGAAUUGCGAUGCAGAACACUACAAGAUUUUUUUUUUUGAGAGAUAGGUAGCAUGCUAUUCGCUUCGUUUAUUUCUUUAAGAAAUAAAAUUAGCCGAAAAUGUGAAUCAACUAUGAUUCAAACUUAGAAUCUCGGAUACCAACUAAAUUUGUUUUCUUUUUUUUAAAAUUUGUGUCUUC